Molecule: long non-coding RNA, 369 nt
Organism: Mustela erminea (ermine)
Lineage: Eukaryota; Metazoa; Chordata; Mammalia; Carnivora; Mustelidae
Exons: 3
Source: RefSeq, a predicted model, not a curated record
UUUCCCUGCAGAGGCCAAGAGACCAAAUUUGCUAGGGAUUGAGGCUCAACCUUUGUCAAGCAGAGUUUUCAAGGAGAUGAAAUCUUCUGAUUGAAGAUCCUUUAGAAGCUUUUUAAGAAGAUCUGGGAGGGUGGGCCAAAUCUGUUGGUAGUAGGAAUGGUGAGAAGGGAGAAGGUGUUGAUUCUUCUGUUCCAGCGGCACACAGAGCGAAGACCAGUUAACUACAGUGAUGCAAGUGGUUUCAGUGGAAUUGAUGACAGAUGUUUAUUUGGGUGAGGUACUACUGGAAAUUGGGGGAUAAUAAUUUGGUUGAUGACCCUGAGUUCUCAAAAAAUUCAAUUCCCUCAUCCCUUUGGUUUCUUGAAGAAU